Molecule: long non-coding RNA, 1353 nt
Filed under: Marmota monax (woodchuck)
Lineage: Eukaryota; Metazoa; Chordata; Mammalia; Rodentia; Sciuridae
Source: RNAcentral
UCGAAAAUCAAACCUUAUUUGCCACAGGAGAACUCACACUGGAGAGAAGCCCUUCAAAUGUAAAGAAUGUGGCAAAGCUUUCAGUCGAAUAUCAUACCUUGUUUGCCACGGAAGAACUCAUACUGGAGAGAAGCCCUACAAAUGUAAAGAAUGUGGAAAAGCUUUCAGUCACAAAGAAGGCCUUAUUUACCACAGCAGAAGUCACACUGGGGAGAUGUCCUACAAAUGUAAAGAUUGUGGCAAAGCUUUUGGUCACAAAUCACACCUUGUUAACCACAGCAGAACUCACACUGGAGAGAAGCCCUAUAAAUGUAAAGAUUGUGGCAAAGCUUUUGGUCAAAAAGCAUACCUUAUUUACCACAGCAGAAUUCACACUGGAGAGAAGCCCUACAAAUGUACAGAAUGUGGCAAAGCUUUUGGUCACAAAUCACACCUUGUUAACCACAGCAGAAGUCACACUGGAGAGAAGCCGUACAAAUGUACAGAAUGUGGCAAAGCUUUUGGUCACAAAUCACACCUUGCUAACCAUAGCAGAACUCACAGUGGAGAGAAGCCCUACAAAUGUACAGAAUGUGGCAAAGCUUUUGUUGCCAAAUCAAACCUUAUUCACCACAGGAGAACUCACAGUGGAGAGAAGCCCUACAAAUGUACAGAAUGUGGCAAAGCUUUUGUUGCCAAAUCAAACCUUAUUCGCCACCACAGAACUCACUGGAGAGAAGCCCUACAAAUGUAAAGAAUGUGGCAAAGCUUUCACUCAGAAAACAGGCUUUAUUUGCCACAGGAGAACUCACACUAGAGAGAAGCCUUACAAAUGCAAAGAAUGUGGCAAAGCGUUCAGUCAAAAAUCACACCUUAUUUGCCACAACAGAACUCACACUGGAGAGAAGCCUUACAAAUAUAAGGAAUGUGGCAAAGCUUUUAGCAAUAAAACAGGCCUUAUUCACCACAACAGAACUAACACUGAAGAAUAGCCCUACAAAUGUAAAUAAUGUGACAACACUUUUUAAUAAAAAAUAAAACUUUAUUCACCACAACAGAAGACAUCCUGGUGAAUGUGAAAUGUGAAUAAAGUGAUAAUAACUUUUAAAGAAAAACUAAACCUUGGGGCUGGGGUUGAGGUUUAGUGAUAGAGUGCUAGCCUCGCAUUUGUGAGAUCCUGGUUCAAUCCUCAGUACCACAUAAAAAUAAAUAAGUGAAAUAAAGGUAUUUUGUCCAACUACAACUAAAAAAAUAAACAUUAAAAAAAUGACUAAACCUUAUUAACAACAGAAUUUAUACAGAAAAGAACCCGUACAAAUUAAAACAAUGCAGCAAAUCUCUUAAUAAGAAAUCAAUUCUUAUCACCACUAGGCU